Molecule: long non-coding RNA, 884 nt
Filed under: Brassica napus (rape)
Lineage: Eukaryota; Viridiplantae; Streptophyta; Magnoliopsida; Brassicales; Brassicaceae
Description: long non-coding RNA (BNAP_LNC002600)
Source: RNAcentral
UCUCCUCGACAGCGACGGAGCUAUCUCUCGGUGGAGUCGAAGCUCUCUCUCGGCGAAGGUAAAGCUUAUGUUUCAACUUGAGAUGGAUUGAUCAAAUAUGAUUUGUUUGCAAUUUUGUUUCAAUUAAGAUGGAUGGAUGAAAAUAGAUUUGUUUGUAAGUUUAUUUCAACUUGGAAUUGUUUGAACUAAGAUGGAAUGAUCUCAUUUGAUGUUCUGUGUUUGAUUAAAUCGUUUUUGAUAUGUUCUGACUUUGUGUUUGUUUGCUUGUUUCAGUCCUUGAAAUCGUUUUAGAUAUGUUCUGACUUUGUGUCUGUUUGUUUUGUGUGUUUGUGUUGUAACAUGCGUGGAUCGAGGGUACAAGACGAAGGAAGCUGAAAAUGGAGGAGUACAAGACGAAGGAAGCUCAAAACAGGUAAAUGUCUUCUUCUUUUAAUUGAUUGAAAGCUUUAUGGUUGAUAGUUAAUGUUUUUCUUAGUGAACUAGAUUAUGGUUGUGUGAUGAAUGUGUGCUGAAGUGUAAUUAAUGUCCUGGUUAGAGGUAAAAUAUGGUUGUGUGAUAAGUAGUAGGGGUGGGCACUUCGGUUAUUUUAUCGGUUCGGUUCGAGUUCGGUUCGGUUUGGUUGGUUCGGUUCUAGAAUUUUUCCAGCUGAAGUAAACUAUAGUUAGUUUGGUUUGGAUCGAUUUCGGUUCGGUUAUGUUCGGUUCGGUUUAUAUUCGGUUUGGUUUGUAUUCGAUUCGGUUUGUAUUUCGGUUCGGUUCGGUUUAAUCGGAUUUCUCUUAGUUUAUUUAUUGUACAAGAAAUCAUGUUUUAAUACAUAAAUAUAAGGUUGUCAUGAAAUAAUCGUGUUGGACAUAAUCAAAAAUUAAAUAUGUAAAUUCAAUUCA